This 253-nucleotide ribosomal RNA is filed under the name uncultured bacterium. Its description in RNAcentral is "partial 16S ribosomal RNA". It matches the Rfam family "Bacterial small subunit ribosomal RNA", at positions 524 to 776 of the family's 1533-position model. The record is from RNAcentral.
UACGGGGGGGGCAAGCGUUGUUCGGAAUUACUGGGCGUAAAGGGCUCGUAGGUGGCCAACUAAGUCAGACGUGAAAUCCCUCGGCUUAACCGGGGAACUGCGUCCGAUACUGGUUGGCUUGAGUUUGGGAGAGGGAUGCGGAAUUCCAGGUGUAGCGGUGAAAUGCGUAGAUAUCAGGAGGAACACCGGUGGCGAAGGCGGGUCUCUGGGCCGAUACUGACGCUGAGGAGCGAAAGCUAGGGGAGCAAACGGG